CCUACGGGAGAAAGCAGGGGACCUUCGGGCCUUGCGCUAUCAGAUGAGCCUAGGUCGGAUUAGCUAGUUGGUGGGGUAAUGGCUCACCAAGGCGACGAUCCGUAACUGGUCUGAGAGGAUGAUCAGUCACACUGGAACUGAGACACGGUCCAGACUCCUACGGGAGGCAGCAGUGGGGAAUAUUGGACAAUGGGCGAAAGCCUGAUCCAGCCAUGCCGCGUGUGUGAAGAAGGUCUUCGGAUUGUAAAGCACUUUAAGUUGGGAGGAAGGGCAGUAAAUUAAUACUUUGCUGUUUUGACGUUACUGACAGAAUAAGCACCGGCUAACUCUGUGCCAGCAGCCGCGGUAAUACAGAGGGUGCAAGCGUUAAUCGGAAUUACUGGGCGUAAAGCGCGCGUAGGUGGUUCGUUAAGUUGGAUGUGAAAUCCCCGGGCUCAACCUGGGAACUGCAUUCAAAACUGACGAGCUAGAGUAUGGUAGAGGGUGGUGGAAUUUUCUGU
This 500-nucleotide ribosomal RNA is filed under the name uncultured bacterium. Its description in RNAcentral is "bacterial SSU rRNA". It matches the Rfam family "Bacterial small subunit ribosomal RNA", at positions 193 to 674 of the family's 1533-position model. The record is from RNAcentral.